RNAcentral lists this unclassified non-coding RNA (295 nucleotides) under uncultured fungus. Its description in RNAcentral is "sequence contains ITS1, 5.8S rRNA gene". The stretch from base 247 to 295 matches the Rfam family "5.8S ribosomal RNA", at positions 1 to 49 of the family's 154-position model. The record is from RNAcentral. Lineage: Eukaryota; Fungi.
UCUCCGUUGGUGAACCAGCGGAGGGAUCAUUACAGAGUUAUACAACUCCCACACCAUUUGCCAACUUUACUCAGUUAUGCCUCGGCGUAAGCUCCGUACGGGGCUGCCGGGUUGCGCUGCGGGCGACAGCUACCCUGUAGCUUACCCUGUAGCGCUACCCUGUAGCGUUACCCUGCGGCGGCCCGCCGGUGGAAACGAAACUCUUGUUUUAUUGUAUCUUCUGAGCGUCUUAUUUUAAUAAGUUAGAACUUUCAACAACGGAUCUCUUGGUUCUGGCAUCGAUGAAGAACGCAGC